GGGGAUAUGGCGGAAUUGGCAGACGCUGCGGACUUAAAAUCCGUUGGUUGGAAAACCGUGAGGGUUCAAGUCCCUCUAUCCCCA
Molecule: transfer RNA, 84 nt
Filed under: Koliella longiseta
Lineage: Eukaryota; Viridiplantae; Chlorophyta; Trebouxiophyceae; Prasiolales; Koliellaceae
Description: tRNA-Leu
Rfam family: tRNA
About the family: Transfer RNA (tRNA) molecules are approximately 80 nucleotides in length. Their secondary structure includes four short double-helical elements and three loops (D, anti-codon, and T loops).
Source: RNAcentral